GUUGUGCUGCUAACAGUGUGCCUAGAUUAAAGGUGUCUAUUGAUAAUGCAGUGUAAAAACAAUUUUGGGGCCUGUCCUCCUAGCUGCUGAAACUGCAGAAGAGCAUACUUGGCAUGCUGAGGUUCCAGGCUCUGUGCAUCCUCUGGGAUGGAUCUCAUCGCUGCCCUUUCCGCUGGGGGCCGUACAGGGGACACAGAAACGCUGCUGCCAAGGGGUGCAGAGAAGGAUGCGACAGCAUCACCAGCCUUGGAAGAAGUGACAGCAACAAGGGAGAUGGAAAGUCUGAAGGUGGCCAACUCUGAUGGAGCAGUGAUGGAAGCGUCAGAAAACCCAGAGGCAGAAGGAAUUGCUGAAAUGAUCCGAGCAGCAGAACGAAUAGCAAAAUGCGAAGUGGCCAAAGUGCUGCAGUCAGCAAUAGCUGAGCUCAAAGAGAUGAGGAGGAGCACGUUGUUAAAGCCAAGGAACAACACCCAACAGGAGGAGGAGGACUGGGAGAAGAAGUGAGAGGUGAUGUGAAGUGAAGGUUGGUUCGUACCCAAAGUGGAGCGUUCCCAUUACGCCCCCUUUGUAAGUGCCCACGCUAUUAGAAAUAAAGAUAUGCCACAUUCCACGUGCAGUAUCUUUCAUG
Molecule: long non-coding RNA, 628 nt
Filed under: Gallus gallus (chicken)
Lineage: Eukaryota; Metazoa; Chordata; Aves; Galliformes; Phasianidae
Description: long non-coding RNA NONGGAT002174
Source: RNAcentral